This is a transfer RNA of Camelus ferus (Wild Bactrian camel), 72 nucleotides long. It matches the Rfam family "tRNA". From Rfam's summary of the family: Transfer RNA (tRNA) molecules are approximately 80 nucleotides in length. Their secondary structure includes four short double-helical elements and three loops (D, anti-codon, and T loops). Further hydrogen bonds mediate the characteristic L-shaped molecular structure. tRNAs have two regions of fundamental functional importance: the anti-codon, which is responsible for specific mRNA codon recognition, and the 3' end, to which the tRNAs corresponding amino acid is attached (by aminoacyl-tRNA synthetases). tRNAs cope with the degeneracy of the genetic code in two manners: having more than one tRNA (with a specific anti-codon) for a particular amino acid; and 'wobble' base-pairing, i.e. permitting non-standard base-pairing at the 3rd anti-codon position. The record is from Rfam. Lineage: Eukaryota; Metazoa; Chordata; Mammalia; Artiodactyla; Camelidae.
GAGGGUACAGCUCAGUGGUACAGUGCAUGCUUAGCUUGCACAAGGUCCUGGGUUCAAACCUCAGUACCUUCA